RNAcentral lists this ribosomal RNA (253 nucleotides) under uncultured bacterium. Its description in RNAcentral is "partial 16S ribosomal RNA". It matches the Rfam family "Bacterial small subunit ribosomal RNA", at positions 524 to 776 of the family's 1533-position model. The record is from RNAcentral.
UACGUAGGGUGCAAGCGUUAUCCGGAAUUAUUGGGCGUAAAGAGCUCGUAGGCGGUUUGUCGCGUCUGCUGUGAAAACUGGAGGCUCAACCUCCAGCCUGCAGUGGGUACGGGCAGACUAGAGUGCGGUAGGGGAGAUUGGAAUUCCUGGUGUAGCGGUGGAAUGCGCAGAUAUCGGGAGGAACACCGGUGGCGAAGGCGGUUCUCUGGGACAACACUGACGCUGAGGCACGAAAGCGUGGGGAGCAAACAGG